AUUGAACGCUGGCGGAAUGCUUUACACAUGCAAGCCGAACGGUAGAGGGGGCAACCCCUCGAGAGUGGCUAACGGGUGAGUAAUAUAUCGGAACGUGCCCAGUCGUGGGGGAUAACGUAGCGAAAGUUACGCUAAUACCGCAUACGAUCAAAGGAUGAAAGCGGGGGAUCGCAAUACCUCGCGCGAUUGGAGCGGCCGAUAUCAGAUUAGGGAGUUGGUGGGGUAAAGGCUCACCAAGCCAACGAGCUGUAGCUGGUCUGAGAGGACGACGACCCACACUGGAACUGAGACACAGUCCAGAAUCCUACGGGAGGCAGCAGUGGUGAAUUUUGGAUAAUGGACGCAAGUCUGAGCCAGCCAUUCCGCGUGCAGGAUGAAGGCCCUCGGGUUGUAAACUGCUUUUGUACGGAACGAAAAGGUCUCUCUUAAUACGGGGGGCUCAUGACGGUACCGUAAGAAUAAGCACCGGCUAACUACGUGCCAGCCGCCGCGGUAA
This 496-nucleotide ribosomal RNA is filed under the name uncultured bacterium. RNAcentral's name for it is "partial 16S ribosomal RNA". It matches the Rfam family "Bacterial small subunit ribosomal RNA", at positions 30 to 523 of the family's 1533-position model. The record is from RNAcentral.